GUGAAAACAUUCCUGGUACCUCCCCUGGCAUUCAGGGCUGCUCCGGGAGGCUCAGGAGGUGACUCUUCUGCCAUCAGCUGUGCCUGGCACAGGCAGUGCCCCUGGUUUUGUCCCUCUCGUUCCUUGCUGAAUCUGGGGCUCUGGCUCCUCAUGUGCAGUGCUCCCAUCACGGUGUGAGGGAGGCCCCAGCAGUGUCAGCCACGUCUCCCUAGGGAGAAAAAGCUCCCAAACUGGGCUCAGAUCCAGUUUGAGAUCAGUUCUGGGAGCAAAAGGGAGACACUGACAACCACAAGUGGCUUUAUCCUGCCUGGACCUGCACUGGCACCGGCACAGCUUUGGUGCCUCACCCACCCCAGGUCCUCACUAUCAACAGGACUCCCGGUGCAAGGAAACUGUUGCAUCACUGUUGUUGUGGCAACUGCAGCCAGAGCAUCCCUGGAGAGCUUUGGCCCAGAGAGCUGGCAGGACAGAUGGAAAGGACAGAUGUUGCUCCAUCCUGUGCAAGGGAACUCCCUGGUGCCAUGCAGGAUUGACCCCAAGAAAUUAAAGUGAGGCUUGGAAAAUUGCAGGUGGGGCAUUUUGCACAAGGGAAAGGGAAGUUGUGCACGGCCAUCAGAGCUGACUCCAUCCCUGGGGCUAUGGAUCACCAGCAUCCUGCCCUGCCUCUACCUUGGCUCCCCUUGGGAUGUUCCAUCUGACGGGAACAAAGUUGCCUGCAGUAACACCUGCCUCGUGAUCCAGCUUGUUAUUGUCAGCUAAAUUGGGUCAAUACUGAAGAGGAGCUGCUGCUGGAAGGCAGGUUCACAGCAGAGGAGCUGAUGUGCACAUCAAGCCCCUGUGCCAAGCACUGGCCCUGCCUGAGGGUCAAUGGACACACGAACAUGAUAGAAGCUGACCCCAGGGUCCAAGGGGGGUAACCCCAGUGUGGGAUGAGCUCCAAAGGUGCCUUUGCACGUAGUGUGUGCACUGAGUGUCAGAGCACUGCUUGUGCAAAGUGUUCUUGUGCAUAAUGCCCCCCAGACCUGCACAGUCAGGACCCCCAUUCUGUGUGGGAGCAGAGCUGGCAUGUGGGAGCAUCAGGGCAGGAGGGGCUGUGCCAGCUGCCUGUGGGCACCAGCUGCCCAUCGUACACUCCUGACAGGGAAAAAUCUCUUUUCCAGUGCUACAGGAGCAGAGUUGUGUGCACAGAGCUGUGCGGAGCUUCCCCAUUCCUCCCUAUCCAAACUGGUUCAUCUGGUGGUGGCAAAAAAAGUUUCAGCUCUGAAUUGUGCCAGCCUGGGGCCAGGAGCUGCAGCCAGGGGAUGCAGCAGGACCAGCACACCUGGGGAGGAGAUGGGAACCUCUACCCCACAAACCCCCACACUAGAAAAAUUCAACUGCUGCCAGCUUGGAUUCUUGAUUCUCUGGAAGGGCCAAUGCUGCAGGUCAUGGUCUGGAGUCCCUGGAAAAUCAUCAGCCUCUGGAACCCUGGCAGCACUUGGUGUGUGCUGGUGCAGAGCAGAGAGGAGGUGCAGGAGAGCACAGGAUGUAAAACUCAGCAAAAUCAGUGAAAAGAUGUCCUGAUUCAGGCAGGUGCUUCAAAAAUGACCCACUCCCCACUACCUGCCAGGAGACAUCAGCUCCAGCACUGAACCCCUGCAUGGUGGCCAGAUGGCUGGGAUUCAUCUGGGAAAUCCUGGAAGCUUCCAUUACUCUUUAUUAGCAGCCCAGGAGCCUGCUUGGGCCACACAAGGACUUGGACGACAAACUGAUUAAAGACCAACCUAACGAACUCAAAGAGAAUUCUUUAAAUGGAGCCCGCUGUGCCUUGGAGAACUCCUGCCAUGUCUAUUUAUUUAAAUUUAAUGGAAUUUUUGUGGUAAGCUAAUUAAAAAUGAAUUGAUUAUUUAA
Long non-coding RNA from Passer domesticus (house sparrow), 1890 nucleotides. RefSeq lists it as uncharacterized. NCBI's taxonomy places the organism in Eukaryota, Metazoa, Chordata, Aves, Passeriformes, Passeridae. The record is from RefSeq and is a predicted model, not a curated record. The transcript is spliced from 2 exons.